Molecule: long non-coding RNA, 461 nt
Organism: Girardinichthys multiradiatus
Lineage: Eukaryota; Metazoa; Chordata; Actinopteri; Cyprinodontiformes; Goodeidae
Exons: 2
Source: RefSeq, a predicted model, not a curated record
ACAAGCCAAUGCUAAGUCUAUGCCUUGUCUUUCGAUCUGGAAUAACUUUAUGUCCUGUCACAGACUAAGAAUCUGAACGUUGGAGUUAUAUCACUGAAGAACUGACUUUGUGUCCAGGAGUUUUCUGGGUGACUAAGAUUAUCUACAUUCUGAGGACUCUCCUAACUAUUGUUCCCGUCUAGAUUACCGACCAAGAUGGCAGUUUCCUGCUUCCUCCAUCUCCAGGACCUAAGCGUGAGCGUACCCUGUCCACCCUCCAACGCAAGUAUCUGCACAAACGAACUCAAUUGUCUCCAAGCUCAACCAAGAAGCACCUAAGAAAUCAACAGAACAAACUCUGCUACAACAACCUGGAUCCCGAAUCUCUCUACCACUGGUGACCUGACCGCACCUUCUUAUUGGAGUUUUGCCCGUUUACGUUCCUGAUUAUUUUGUGGCACAAUAAAAUAUAAUUUCAUUCA